CCUACGGGAGGCAGCAGUAGGGAAUAUUGCUCAAUGGGGGAAACCCUGAAGCAGCAACGCCGCGUGGAGGAUGAGGGUUUUCGGAUUGUAAACUCCUUUUGUUAGAGAAGAUAAUGACGGUAUCUAACGAAUCAGCACCGGCUAACUCCGUGCCAGCAGCCGCGGUCAUACGGAGGGUGCAAGCGUUACUCGGAAUCACUGGGCGUAAAGAGCGCGUAGGCGGGAUAGCAAGUCAGAUGUGAAAUCCUAUGGCUUAACCAUAGAACUGCAUUUGAAACUGUUAUUCUAGAGUAUGGGAGAGGUAGGUGGAAUUCUUGGUGUAGGGGUAAAAUCCGUAGAGAUCAAGAGGAAUACUCAUUGCGAAGGCGACCUGCUAGAACGUAACUGACGCUGAUGCGCGAAAGCGUGGGGAGCAAACAGGAUUAGAUACCCUUGUAGUC
Molecule: ribosomal RNA, 440 nt
Filed under: uncultured bacterium
Lineage: Bacteria
Description: partial 16S ribosomal RNA
Rfam family: Bacterial small subunit ribosomal RNA
Source: RNAcentral